Molecule: ribosomal RNA, 305 nt
Filed under: uncultured bacterium
Lineage: Bacteria
Description: bacterial SSU rRNA
Rfam family: Bacterial small subunit ribosomal RNA
Source: RNAcentral
GGCUACCUACGGGGGGCAGCAGUGAGGAAUAUUGGUCAAUGGCCGAGAGGCUGAACCAGCCAAGUCGCGUGAGGGAAGACGGCCCUACCGGUUGUAAACCUCUUUUGUCGGGGAGCAAAGAGAGUCACGUGUGACUCAUUGAGAGUACCCGAAGAAAAAGCAUCGGCUAACUCCGUGCCAGCAGCCGCGGUAAUACGGAGGAUGCGAGCGUCAUCCGGAUUUAUUGGGUUUAAAGGGUGCGCAGGCGGAGGUGCAAGUCAGCGGUCAAAUUGCGGGGCUCAACCCCGUACUGCCGUUGAAACUGG